CUUGACUUCAACAGACAAAAUACCCAUCAACUUCAUUCUACUUUUUCUUUAGGAAUUAUUUAAAACUAUCCUGAUAAACUCAGAAUCACUUGAAACUGAAACUUAAAUGCAAAGGCUAUCCUAGUUCAAUUCAAACAAAUCAUGUAUCUAUGUUCCAAUCUUCAGCACUGUAUUAAAGAGAACAACUUGGAAAUGAGCUUAGGAUCCACAGGUCCUGGGAAAUAGCUUAGGACCCAUAGAUAAAGUUGGUGAAGGACAAUUUGCUUAAUUUAUUGCCUUGGAAUUUGAGCUCAGGAGUUCAAGACCAGCGUGAGCAACAUGGUGAAACCCAGUCUUUACAAAAAGUUCAAAAAUU
RNAcentral lists this long non-coding RNA (355 nucleotides) under Homo sapiens (human). RNAcentral describes it as "HSALNT0333463". Lineage: Eukaryota; Metazoa; Chordata; Mammalia; Primates; Hominidae. The record is from RNAcentral.